This 253-nucleotide ribosomal RNA is filed under the name uncultured bacterium. Its description in RNAcentral is "partial 16S ribosomal RNA". It matches the Rfam family "Bacterial small subunit ribosomal RNA", at positions 524 to 776 of the family's 1533-position model. The record is from RNAcentral.
UACGUAGGUGGCAAGCGUUAUCCGGAUUUACUGGGUGUAAAGGGCGUGUAGGCGGGACUGCAAGUCAGAUGUGAAAACCACGGGCUCAACCUGUGGCCUGCAUUUGAAACUGUAGUUCUUGAGUACUGGAGAGGCAGACGGAAUUCCUAGUGUAGCGGUGAAAUGCGUAGAUACUAGGAGGAACACCAGUGGCGAAGGCGGUCUGCUGGACAGCAACUGACGCUGAGGCGCGAAAGCGUGGGGAGCAAACAGG